UACGAAGGGGGCUAGCGUUGUUCGGAAUCACUGGGCAUAAAGCGCACGCAGGCGGAUUGAUAAGUCAGGGGUGAAAUCCCGGAGCUCAACUUCGGAAUUGCCUUUGAUACUAUCUGUCUUGAGUCCGGGAGAGGUGAGUGGAAUUCCUAGUGUAGAGGUGAAAUUCGUAGAUAUUAGGAAGAACACCAGUGGCGAAGGCGGCUCACUGGCCCGGUACUGACGCUCAUGUGCGAAAGCGUGGGGAGCAAACAGG
RNAcentral lists this ribosomal RNA (253 nucleotides) under uncultured bacterium. RNAcentral's name for it is "partial 16S ribosomal RNA". It matches the Rfam family "Bacterial small subunit ribosomal RNA", at positions 524 to 776 of the family's 1533-position model. The record is from RNAcentral.